UGACAGUGUCGGAGUAUGCCCGUAAGUUCCUAGAGCUGGGCCGACAUGCCCCGGAGACAUUGAUGGAUGAGGGCCGAAAGGCCAGGAAAUUCCAGUGGGGUCUCCGCCCGGAGAUCAGACAGCACUUACUGGUAAUGGAGCUCGAGACAUAUUCAGCAGUCCUGGCAAAGGCGCAGAUCAUAGAAAGGAGCUUCGACACCCACCCUCAGCUAGC
This 214-nucleotide long non-coding RNA is filed under the name Carica papaya (papaya). RNAcentral's name for it is "long non-coding RNA (CPAP_LNC014677)". Lineage: Eukaryota; Viridiplantae; Streptophyta; Magnoliopsida; Brassicales; Caricaceae. The record is from RNAcentral.